RNAcentral lists this ribosomal RNA (560 nucleotides) under uncultured bacterium. Its description in RNAcentral is "bacterial SSU rRNA". It matches the Rfam family "Bacterial small subunit ribosomal RNA", at positions 397 to 947 of the family's 1533-position model. The record is from RNAcentral.
ACGCGUGAGUGAAGAAGGUUUUCGGAUCGUAAAACUCUGUUGUUAGGGAAGAACAAGUGCGUCGAAUAGGGCGGCGCCUUGACGGUACCUAACCAGAAAGCCACGGCUAACUACGUGCCAGCAGCCGCGGUAAUACGUAGGUGGCAAGCGUUGUCCGGAAUUAUUGGGCGUAAAGCGCGCGCAGGUGGUUUCUUAAGUCUGAUGUGAAAGCCCACGGCUCAACCGUGGAGGGUCAUUGGAAACUGGGGAACUUGAGUGCAGAAGAGGAAAGUGGAAUUCCAAGUGUAGCGGUGAAAUGCGUAGAUAUUUGGAGGAACACCAGUGGCGAAGGCGACUUUCUGGUCUGUAACUGACACUGAGGCGCGAAAGCGUGGGGAGCAAACAGGAUUAGAUACCCUGGUAGUCCACGCCGUAAACGAUGAGUGCUAGGUGUCAGGGGGUUUCCGCCCCUUAGUGCUGAAGUUAACGCAUUAAGCACUCCGCCUGAGGAGUACGGCCGCAAGGCUGAAACUCACAAGAAUUGACGGGGGCCCCGCACAAGCGGUGGAGCCAUGUGGUUU